RNAcentral lists this ribosomal RNA (484 nucleotides) under uncultured bacterium. RNAcentral's name for it is "partial 16S ribosomal RNA". It matches the Rfam family "Bacterial small subunit ribosomal RNA", at positions 30 to 507 of the family's 1533-position model. The record is from RNAcentral.
AUUGAACGCUGGCGGCAGGCCUAACACAUGCAAGUCGAGCGGAUGAAGGGAGCUUGCUCCUGGAUUCAGCGGCGGACGGGUGAGUAAUGCCUAGGAAUCUGCCUGGUAGUGGGGAAUAACGUCCGGAAACGGGCGCUAAUACCGCAUACGUCCUGAGGGAGAAAGUGGGGGAUCUUCGGACCUCACGCUAUCAGAUGAGCCUAGGUCGGAUUAGCUAGUUGGUGGGGUAAAGGCCUACCAAGGCGACGAUCCGUAACUGGUCUGAGAGGAUGAUCAGUCACACUGGAACUGAGACACGGUCCAGACUCCUACGGGAGGCAGCAGUGGGGAAUAUUGGACAAUGGGCGAAAGCCUGAUCCAGCCAUGCCGCGUGUGUGAAGAAGGUCUUCGGAUUGUAAAGCACUUUAAGUUGGGAGGAAGGGCAGUAAGUUAAUACCUUGCUGUUUUGACGUUACCAACAGAAUAAGCACCGGCUAACUUCGUG